GGGGAUGUAGCUCAGGGGGAGAGCACCUGCUUCGCAAGCAGGGGGUCGGCGGUUCGAAUCCGCUCAUCUCCACCA
RNAcentral lists this transfer RNA (75 nucleotides) under Deltaproteobacteria bacterium. Its description in RNAcentral is "tRNA-Ala". It matches the Rfam family "tRNA". From Rfam's summary of the family: Transfer RNA (tRNA) molecules are approximately 80 nucleotides in length. Their secondary structure includes four short double-helical elements and three loops (D, anti-codon, and T loops). Lineage: Bacteria; Pseudomonadati; Myxococcota; Myxococcia. RNAcentral also lists the same sequence under 1 other name. The record is from RNAcentral.